AUUUUAGAAAAAUCUGUAGAAAUGUUGGAACAUAUGGCCUAAUUUUGGAAACAAAAUCUUAGAAAUAUGGGAACUCUGGGAACUUAUUUUGAAAAGAAUCUUAGAAGUGUGG
Long non-coding RNA from Etheostoma spectabile (orangethroat darter), 112 nucleotides. RefSeq lists it as uncharacterized. NCBI's taxonomy places the organism in Eukaryota, Metazoa, Chordata, Actinopteri, Perciformes, Percidae. The transcript has 3 exons. The record is from RefSeq and is a predicted model, not a curated record.